UACGCUUUUAAUGACGGAACAUUGUGUGAAACUUUUCAUCCUGAAGAGUCUGGCUGGAGAGAGUGCGUUUCUUGUAAGAAGAAAAUUCAUUGUGGAUGUAUUAUGGCAGCCCAUACUUAUACAAUAUUGGACUCUACUGGCGUGCAAUGUAUGGAGUGUGCAAUAAACGAAUCUUUGGCACCACACCGAUGCUCACUGCACCUUGGGCGCCCUGAGGCUUUUCUGCAAGCAACGGACUCUCCUCAAAUACCAUCUGCUGACCCAGAGAAAAUGAUAACUGGGGUCAAUCCAAUUUCACCACCCGAUUGUCUUGUACGCAACGCCCCACCUAAAAUGGUAGCCAAUCCAACUACUCCCGGACAUCAAUCCCAAUCUCCACCCGCAGAAACUGAAGAAGAAGACUCUGUGAAUUCACCUGGUGAAACAAAAACACUCAUUGGAAUAAUGGUGGCAAGCGUCGUAAAGGUGGCAAUAAACGUACUCAAAUACAAAAUAAGUAUUCACCCAAGAUAAGCACAGAGGAGCUAAGGGAAAUAUGCAGACAGUCAAAAUCAAGCCUUGUUCCUUUGUUUGAGAAAGAAUUGACUUUUAGCGAUGCUGAAUCCAGGAAUGGGCGUCUUCUGUUACCAAAGAGAUGCGCAGAAGCUUAUUUCCCAAAGACUUCGGGGCAACAAGGAAUCUUCCUCAUGCUGCAAGACACGAAUGGAAAUGCCUGGAAACUUCACUUCCGUUACUGGACAAAUAAUUGUGGGAAGAUGUAUGUUCUUGAAGGGCUUAGAGAUUACAAGAUCCAGAUGAAAUGGGAAGCGGGUGAUACAGUGAGAUUUUAUAAAAGAGAAGCGGAUGGACAAUUGGUCAUGGGAUUCAAAAAGAAUCAGGCUCCCGUAGUUGUUGUGAAGAGCCCAACUGAUGCUUGAAAACGACUUUAACGUUCAAAGACCAGUGUGAACAUUUUGCUUUCCAUCGAAGCUACAAUGGUUUCAAAGCAGGUUCCAUGGACAGCUGAAAGAUGCUUGACUUCUUAGUAAGGAAAAAAAACGAGAUUAUCAGUGGCAUGCCAACACUCGUAUGAGUUUUCAUCGUAAUCUAUCUCGUCAGUUCAUAGUUUUUGGUCAUAUUACAUCGGCGAGUAUAAAACUGAAGAACAAAUGAACAGUCAUCUGAAGCAGUUGUGUUACAUCGGUUUCAGAGCAGGUUCCAUGGACAGCUGAAAGAUGCUUGACUUCUAAACACGGAAAAAAAGAGAUUAUCGGUGGCAUGGGAACACUCGUAUGUGUUUCCUCUUCUACAAAAUAAGUAAAGCGAUCCGACUGAUCAACAGUUGUCAGGUUAGAUUUCAAGUCUGAUUCCUUUCCACACUGCAUUCCAUCUAUUCCCUGGAAAAAAAAGUUUUUUUCCCACUUUCUUUUCGUGUUUCGUAAAGCUGAGAUAGAGAGAGAGAAAUAGAUAUAUAUCGUAUUCUACCAUUAGGUCUGCCAGUCAUGUCUGUAAGACAGGAUUAAAUUGAGUAUGAGCUUUGUGAAAUGCUGAAGAUAUGGUUUUAAAGGUGAAAGACCAACUUUACAAUUAGUGUCACCGAUGUUUAUCUUGCUCAAUUUCUGGUCUCGGACUGUUCGGUAGCUACAGAAGAAAAAUAUGUGAUGGGUUCUGGAAUUCCGUCAUCCUGUCGGGUAACACUGAGGGAUUCAGGUCAGGCUGUACAAUUUCCUUUUCAGUAUUUUUUUCUAAUGUUUUAAAGAUUGUAACUCGAGCCUAUUGAAUUUGUGCAGAUUGUUACUGCCUUUCCUUCAAA
Molecule: long non-coding RNA, 1792 nt
Organism: Hibiscus syriacus
Lineage: Eukaryota; Viridiplantae; Streptophyta; Magnoliopsida; Malvales; Malvaceae
Exons: 10
Source: RefSeq, a predicted model, not a curated record